AGCUCCAAUAGCGUAUAUUUAAGUUGUUGCAGUUAAAAAGCUCGUAGUUGGAUUUCGGAGUCGGGCGACCGGUCCGCCGUUUCGGUGUGCACUGGUCCGACCCGUCUUUUUCUGUCGGGGACGCGCGCUCCUUCAUUGGGGACGCGGAGUCGGCGCUGUUACUUUGAAAAAAUUAGAGUGUUCAAGGCAGGCUUACGCUCUGAAUACUAUAGCAUGGAAUAACGCGAUAGGACUCCGGGCCUAUUUCGUUGGUCUUCGGGACCGGAGUAAUGAUUAAGAGGGACAGUUGGGGGCAUUUGUAUUCCGGUGUCAGAGGUGAAAUUCUUGGAUUUCCGGAAGACAAACUUCUGCGAAAGCAUUUGCCAAGGAUGUUU
This 374-nucleotide ribosomal RNA is filed under the name uncultured eukaryote. RNAcentral describes it as "SSU rRNA". It matches the Rfam family "Eukaryotic small subunit ribosomal RNA", at positions 587 to 969 of the family's 1831-position model. The record is from RNAcentral.